UCACCGGGAGUUCUGUAGUGA
This 21-nucleotide microRNA is filed under the name Heligmosomoides polygyrus. Its description in RNAcentral is "hpo-miR-40c-3p". Its record names the gene hpo-miR-40c-3p. Lineage: Eukaryota; Metazoa; Nematoda; Chromadorea; Rhabditida; Heligmosomidae. The record is from miRBase by way of RNAcentral.